RNA transcript from Spinacia oleracea (spinach), 2734 nucleotides. It is a transcript of the gene named tricalbin-3, with no coding region annotated. NCBI's taxonomy places the organism in Eukaryota, Viridiplantae, Streptophyta, Magnoliopsida, Caryophyllales, Amaranthaceae. The transcript is spliced from 8 exons. The record is from RefSeq and is a predicted model, not a curated record.
AAUUUACACCAAUAUUUAAACUUUAUUUAUCCCCAAUCUUUCCCACACUUGGCUUCAGUUUCUCCUUCUGAUUUCCACCAAUUUCCCACCUUUCCCUCAAACUGUCAAACACCCACUUCAACCUCGAUUGCUGCUACCCAAUUGAGGUUCGUUUUGGUGUAAUCAACCUUUAAUUUUGUUUGUUUGGAGUUGAAUUUUCUGGGGUUUUGUUAUUUUUUUUUUUUUGCUUGUUCCCCAUAUCAUAUUUGACUUGAAUUCAUGUUUUCUUAUGCAAUUGAUGUUAGUCUAUGUGCCCAUAUCAAAAUUAGGGCAACCCAUUUGCAGUUUAUCAUAAAUGGUUUUGCUCUCUGCUUGUGCAAGAACUGAUUUUUCCCAAUUUACCCGGGUUGUUUGCCCAUGUAAAAUCGUCCCGCCAGGGGCGGUUUGUUUGAAUGGAAGCUGGGAUUGUGGGUUUUAUGUGUUUGGGUGUUAUAGAAGUAAGAGGAGGAGGUGUUUUGGGGUUAAUUCGAAAAAGAGUUCGAGUAGAAAAUGGGUUUUUCGCGCUUGUGCUGUUUCCAGUGAUGGCGGGGGUACUAAUUUUAAUGUAGAUAUAGGUACUAAUUCUGCUAGGGGAGGUGCUAAAAGUGUAGUUCUAAGUCGGUUUUCAGAUGAAUUCGACAAUGAUGAUGGUGAUGAUGCUAGUAGGGAUUUGUCACAAGAAUCUAUCCAAUUGGGUUCUGGUUUUACCAAUUUUCAGCAAGACCCAAUUGUGGAUAAGCUCAGGACGCAACUAGGAGUGAUUCAUCCUAUGCCUACACCUCCGAUAAAUCGGACUGUUUUCAGCUUGUUUGUGUUCUUCUUCUUUGUUGGGGUUGUUUUUGACAAGCUAUGGACGCGGUUAAAGAGGAAAAAGACCGAUACUCAGCUUGCUUUGUGGCGGCAAACACCCUUGACUUUUUCGAUGUUUUUAGAGAAGGAUUUGCAGAGGAAGGAGUCGGUAGAAUGGGUGAAUAUGGUGCUAGGAAAGUUGUGGCAGGUUUACAGACCUGGUCUUGAAAACUGGAUAGUUGGUUUGUUACAACCUGUUAUUGACAAUAUAGCAAAACCGGAUUAUGUACAACGAGUGGAGGUGAAGCAGUUCUCGUUGGGCGAUGAGCCUCUGUCUGUUAGAAGUGUGGAACGCAGAACAUCUCGCCGCAUGAAUGACUUGCAGUACCAAAUUGGCCUUCGAUACACUGGCGGGGCUCGUAUGCUUUUAAUGCUCUCACUGAAAUUCGGUAUACUUCCCAUUGUUGUGCCAGUUGGUGUUCGGGAUUUUGAUAUUGAUGGGGAACUUUGGGUGAAACUACGGUUAAUACCCACAGAGCCAUGGGUUGGAGCUGUUUCAUGGGCCUUUGUUGACCUUCCGAAAAUAAAGUUCGAAUUGUCACCAUUUCGAUUGUUCAAUUUAAUGGCGAUACCCGUCCUUUCAACCUUCUUGACAAAACUGCUGACUGAAGAUUUACCAAGACUCUUUGUCCGCCCAAAGAAGAUUGUUUUAGAUUUUCAGAAAGGGGAAGCUGUUGGGCCUGUGCCUACUGAUUUGAAAUCUAAGGAUGCUCAAGAGAAAAAUAAAGAUUCUGUUGGAGAGCUGUCAGUGACUCUUGUAGAUGCUCGUAAUCUCUCAUAUGUACUGUACGGUAAGACGGAUCCUUAUGUUGUUUUGCGCAUGGGAGACAAAAAAAUACGCAGUAAGAAGAAUAGUCAAACCACCGUCAUAGGACCGCCUGGUGAACCGAUCUGGAACCAAGACUUCAAUAUGCUUGUUGCAGAUCCUAAAAAACAGAGAUUGUACGUUGAAGUUGUGGACUCUCUUGGCUUUGGAUAUAUGACAAUUGGUAAAGGAGAGGUUGAUUUAGGUACUCUCCAAGACACAGUACCAACAGAUACGGUUGUUGCCUUGACAGGAGGGUGGAAUUUGUUUAGAAAGAGAAAUUGCGGUGAAGUUCUUCUCCGGUUGACAUAUAAAGCAUAUGUGGAAGAUGAAGAAGAGGAGGGGACAAAAGCACAAGUAGCUGACUCAGUAAUUUCAGAGGAUGACGGUUCUGAUGCUGAUGAACCUGAUCUUACUUACAAGCAAAUGCCAGAGAAUUUUAUGCGAAAUAAAGAUAAAGAAUCAUUUAUGGAUGUUCUUGCUGCACUAAUUGUGAGUGAGGAAUUUCAAGGAAUAGUAACAUCUGAAACUGGAAACGCAAAAGUUGCAGAUGAUGUUACUAGUAUAGGUACCACUUCUCCAAAGUCACAAGGCCUUGCAGCUGAACCCUUGGUGGAUAGCGGAGUAGAAAGUUCUAAAGGAUCUGCGCUAUUUUGGCUGGCUGUGAUUACCAGUAUUGCGGUUGUAAUUGCCCUCAAUGUUGGCGGACCAAGUAUCUUUAAUCCCUGAUUUUUCUCCAGAGGCGUAUAAAUGCCAGUUUUUGCUUUUUUCACGAAGGUGAGAGGCUGCAGUUAUUCUUUGAAGGAGCUGAAGGUGAUACACCUCAUAUUGGCUGCUAAGUAAGUGCUAAGUAGCUAUGCAAAUUGGUGUAAAUCCCUGCUGAGUUAAUAAUUCCUUCGGCCCGCCCGAAAAAUAAUUGUUUGGUUGGGGAAUUUUGUGGCCCAUCCCCUUAAUAGGCGUUCAAAUUGUAAAUCCUAUAUCCCUUUUCUAUUUAUUUUCUUUCUUUCUUGUAACUUAAACUUUUGCUGCUAUCAUAAAAACCACAGGUAGUUCGAAUCGAUA